GGUAUUGAAAUUGGUUUAAGGGCUUUUAAAUUCUAGGAUUUUAAGUUCUUAUCUUAAUUCUUGCUUUUGAAUUGGGCUUCAAAAUAGUAAAAGCCCUGAAGAAAAGGUCAAAAAAAUACAGAAUAAAAAUCAAUUUUUCCUCUUUUAAUUUGGUUUUAAAUUUGUAUUAAGAGCUUUAAAAUUCUAGCAUUAUCAAAGCCUUUAAAAGGUACAAUUUUAAAAUGAAAAAAGAAGAAUAAUAAAUAAAAUUAUACGGUUUUAUUCUUUUUGCAUCUUCUGUUUUUUAAUGUCGUUUGCAACAUGUACAAAAUAACAACAAAAGAAUUGCAACAAAAGAGAGAGAGAGAGAGAAUGAAUUACCAUCUGUUUGGGAAACUUUGAGUAUUAACUAUUGAGUUAUUGAUGCUUGAUCUAUCUUCCACAGGUUUAAGUUGCAGAGAAGAGAGAGAGAAACGCGCCUUCAAAUUCAAGAGCAAGAGAGAAAGAAAGAUACAAAGCAAGAGAGAAAGAGAGAGAUGGGUAAACCAAAG
This 530-nucleotide long non-coding RNA is filed under the name Amborella trichopoda. RNAcentral describes it as "long non-coding RNA (ATRI_LNC003109)". The record is from RNAcentral. Lineage: Eukaryota; Viridiplantae; Streptophyta; Magnoliopsida; Amborellales; Amborellaceae.